RNAcentral lists this unclassified non-coding RNA (341 nucleotides) under soil metagenome. Its description in RNAcentral is "partial contains 5.8S ribosomal RNA, internal transcribed spacer 2, and large subunit ribosomal RNA". The stretch from base 1 to 120 matches the Rfam family "5.8S ribosomal RNA", at positions 35 to 154 of the family's 154-position model. The record is from RNAcentral.
GAUGAAGAACGUAGCGAAAUGCGAUAAGUAGUGUGAAUUGCAGAAUUCAGUGAAUCAUCGAAUCUUUGAACGCACAUUGCGCCCUUUGGUAUUCCAAAGGGCAUGCCUGUUCGAGCGUCAUUUGUACCCUCAAGCUUUGCUUGGUGUUGGGCGUCUUGUCUCUAGCUUUGCUGGAGACUCGCCUUAAAGUAAUUGGCAGCCGGCCUACUGGUUUCGGAGCGCAGCACAAGUCGCACUCUCUAUCAGCAAAGGUCUAGCAUCCAUUAAGCCUUUUUUUCAACUUUUGGCCUCGGAUCAGGUAGGGAUACCCGCUGAACUUAAGCAUAUCAAUAAGCGGAGGA